CACCACCAUGCUUGGCCUAUUUAUUUUAUAACAGUGUCACAUGUGUUCCAGGCUGGCCUCUUACUCCUGUGCUGUGUAGGUGAAGAUGACCUUCACUUCUUGAUCCUACUGUCCACACCUUCAAAGCGCUGGGAUUCCAGAGGAACCUGAGACCCAGGUCACCCACACCGUACUCACCAUCCUUCCUGAAUUUUCCCUGAUGCCUUCGUCGGAGAAGGAGGAAGAUGAGGAUGAAGAGGAAGAGGAGGAAGGCCACAGAGACUCCGACCAGAGCCUUCAGUUCACCUGCCUCAGAUCACAUGACUGGAAGUGGCAGAGCUGGGAGUCGAACCCAGGGACUCUUCCAUCUCUUUACUCUUUGCCUGAGCUGAGCCUCCUGAGUUGGAGGGAAGGAGCCUGAAUGCCCUGCCCUGGAGCUGUGCCCCACCUUGCACAGACAGACCCA
Long non-coding RNA from Onychomys torridus (southern grasshopper mouse), 445 nucleotides. RefSeq lists it as uncharacterized. The transcript has 3 exons. The record is from RefSeq and is a predicted model, not a curated record. Lineage: Eukaryota; Metazoa; Chordata; Mammalia; Rodentia; Cricetidae.